GUGAAAAUAAUUUAUAAUAAAAUACUAUAUUGAAGCUAUAGAAAAGAUAUUUUAGUCUUUUCACAU
RNAcentral lists this transfer RNA (66 nucleotides) under Baltalimania ylvae. Its description in RNAcentral is "tRNA-Phe". Lineage: Eukaryota; Metazoa; Xenacoelomorpha; Acoela; Isodiametridae. The record is from RNAcentral.